RNAcentral lists this ribosomal RNA (2889 nucleotides) under Acinetobacter baumannii. RNAcentral's name for it is "bacterial LSU rRNA". It matches the Rfam family "Bacterial large subunit ribosomal RNA". Lineage: Bacteria; Pseudomonadati; Pseudomonadota; Gammaproteobacteria; Moraxellales; Moraxellaceae. The record is from RNAcentral.
UCAAGUAAUUAAGUGCAUGUGGUGGAUGCCUUGGCAGUCAGAGGCGAUGAAAGACGUGAUAGCCUGCGAAAAGCUCCGGGGAGGCGGCAAAUAUCCUUUGAUCCGGAGAUGUCUGAAUGGGGGAACCCACCUACUUUAAGGUAGGUAUUGCAACAUGAAUACAUAGUGUUGCAAGGCGAACGAGGGGAAGUGAAACAUCUCAGUACCCUUAGGAAAAGAAAUCAAUUGAGAUUCCCUCAGUAGCGGCGAGCGAACGGGGAUCAGCCCAUUAAGUUAUGUGUGUUUUAGUGGAACGCUCUGGGAAGUGCGAACGUAGAGGGUGAUAUUCCCGUACACGAAAGGGCACACAUAAUGAUGACGAGUAGGGCGAGGCACGUGAAACCUUGUCUGAAUAUGGGGGGACCAUCCUCCAAGGCUAAAUACUCCUGACUGACCGAUAGUGAACCAGUACCGUGAGGGAAAGGCGAAAAGAACCCCUGUGAGGGGAGUGAAAUAGAUCCUGAAACCGCAUGCAUACAAGCAGUGGGAGCACCUUCGUGGUGUGACUGCGUACCUUUUGUAUAAUGGGUCAGCGACUUAUAUUCAGUAGCGAGGUUAACCGUAUAGGGGAGCCGUAGAGAAAUCGAGUCUUAAUAGGGCGUUUAGUUGCUGGGUAUAGACCCGAAACCAGGCGAUCUAUCCAUGAGCAGGUUGAAGGUUGGGUAACACUAACUGGAGGACCGAACCCACUGUCGUUGAAAAGCCAGGGGAUGACUUGUGGAUAGGGGUGAAAGGCUAAUCAAGCCUGGUGAUAGCUGGUUCUCCCCGAAAGCUAUUUAGGUAGCGCCUCGGACGAAUACCAUAGGGGGUAGAGCACUGUUUCGGCUAGGGGGUCAUCCCGACUUACCAAACCGAUGCAAACUCCGAAUACCUAUGAGUACUAUCCGGGAGACAGACUGCGGGUGCUAACGUCCGUAGUCAAGAGGAAAACAAUCCAGACCGCCAGCUAAGGCCCCAAAAUCAUAGUUAAGUGGGAAACGAUGUGGGAAGGCAUAGACAGCUAGGAGGUUGGCUUAGAAGCAGCCACCCUUUAAAGAAAGCGUAAUAGCUCACUAGUCGAGUCGGCCUGCGCGGAAGAUGUAACGGGGCUAAAACUAUGUGCCGAAGCUGCGGAUGUAUACUUUGUAUACGUGGUAGGGGAGCGUUCUGUAAGCCGAUGAAGGUGUGUUGAGAAGCAUGCUGGAGGUAUCAGAAGUGCGAAUGCUGACGUGAGUAACGACAAAACGGGUGAAAAACCCGUUCGCCGAAAGACCAAGGGUUCCAGUCCAACGUUAAUCGGGGCUGGGUGAGUCGACCCCUAAGGCGAGGCCGAAAGGCGUAGUCGAUGGGAAAAUGGUUAAUAUUCCAUUACUUCUGUGUAAUGCGAUGAGAGGACGGAGAAGGCUAAAUCAGCCUGGCGUUGGUUGUCCAGGUGAAAGGAUGUAGGCAUGUAUCUUAGGCAAAUCCGGGGUACUCUAUGCUGAGAUCUGAUAGCAAGCUGUACUUGUACAGCGAAGUGGUUGAUGCCAUGCUUCCAGGAAAAGUCUCUAAGCUUCAGUUACACAGGAAUCGUACCCGAAACCGACACAGGUGGUCAGGUCGAGUAGACCAAGGCGCUUGAGAGAACUCUGCUGAAGGAACUAGGCAAAAUGGUACCGUAACUUCGGGAGAAGGUACGCUGUUGUUGGUGAUGGAACUCGCUUCCUGAGCUGACGACAGCCGCAGAAACCAGGCCGCUGCAACUGUUUAUUAAAAACAUAGCACUCUGCAAACACGAAAGUGGACGUAUAGGGUGUGAUGCCUGCCCGGUGCUGGAAGGUUAAUUGAUGGGGUUAGCGUAAGCGAAGCUCUUGAUCGAAGCCCCAGUAAACGGCGGCCGUAACUAUAACGGUCCUAAGGUAGCGAAAUUCCUUGUCGGGUAAGUUCCGACCUGCACGAAUGGCAUAAUGAUGGCGGCGCUGUCUCCAGCAGAGGCUCAGUGAAAUCGAAAUCGCUGUGAAGAUGCAGUGUACCCGCGGCUAGACGGAAAGACCCCGUGAACCUUUACUGCAGCUUGACACUGAACUUUGACCUUACUUGUGUAGGAUAGGUGGGAGGCUUUGAAGCUGGAACGCUAGUUCCAGUGGAGCCGUCCUUGAAAUACCACCCUGGUAAUGUUGAGGUUCUAACUCUGUCCCGUGAUCCGGGACGAGGACCGUGUCUGGUGGGUAAUUUGACUGGGGCGGUCUCCUCCUAAAGAGUAACGGAGGAGUACGAAGGUGCGCUCAGCGUGGUCGGAAAUCACGCGUAGAGUAUAAAGGCAAAAGCGCGCUUAACUGCGAGACCCACAAGUCGAGCAGGUACGAAAGUAGGUCUUAGUGAUCCGGUGGUUCUGUAUGGAAGGGCCAUCGCUCAACGGAUAAAAGGUACUCUGGGGAUAACAGGCUGAUACCGCCCAAGAGUUCAUAUCGACGGCGGUGUUUGGCACCUCGAUGUCGGCUCAUCUCAUCCUGGGGCUGAAGCAGGUCCCAAGGGUAUGGCUGUUCGCCAUUUAAAGAGGUACGCGAGCUGGGUUUAGAACGUCGUGAGACAGUUCGGUCCCUAUCUACCGUGGGCGCUGGAAAUUUGAGAGGAUCUGCUCCUAGUACGAGAGGACCAGAGUGGACGAACCUCUGGUGUACCGGUUGUGACGCCAGUCGCAUCGCCGGGUAGCUAUGUUCGGAAGGGAUAACCGCUGAAAGCAUCUAAGCGGGAAGCCUACCUCAAGAUAAGAUUUCCCUAGGACUUUAUGUCCUCUAAAGAGCCGUUCGAGACUAGGACGUUGAUAGGUUGGAUGUGGAAGCAUAGUGAUAUGUGAAGCUGACCAAUACUAAUUGCUCGUGAGGCUUGACU